Transfer RNA from Gracilibacillus boraciitolerans JCM 21714, 76 nucleotides. It matches the Rfam family "tRNA". From Rfam's summary of the family: Transfer RNA (tRNA) molecules are approximately 80 nucleotides in length. NCBI's taxonomy places the organism in Bacteria, Bacillati, Bacillota, Bacilli, Caryophanales, Bacillaceae. The record is from Rfam.
GGAGGAUUAGCUCAGCUGGGAGAGCACUUGCCUUACAAGCAAGGGGGGGUCGCAGGUUCGAGCCCUGCAUCCUCCA